UCCAGCGGUCCUUCCUUACUUGCCUGUCUGCCUGAUCUGAUCUUGGUUUUACCUCUUGUUUUCUCUGCCCUGCCUUGCCAUCAUCAGAUACCUUACUGGCUUGCUUUCUGGACAUCGACCUCGCUUCUGUUUUCGGACCACCUCUCCCUGCCUCCUCCCUGGAUCUGUUUGCUUAUAUCCCUGUUCAUGACUUCAUUUCUGCGUCCUGGACCACGAGUUAAGCCUCUCCCUCGGAUCCUGUUGCUCAUAUCUGCUCUCAUGGCACUGACCCUGUUUCUGUCCCCUGACCACCGCAACCUGCUCAUUCACUGGGUUUGUAAACCUGAGAACCUUUGGAGCGUUUCCCAGCUGUUGCCCCACCAGCACUCUGAGGAGCUGAAAAUCAGCUUCCUGGUUCCCAUAUGGGUUCUGAGAAGAGGUUCCUGAGCCUGCCACUGGAGGUUUCCUAUCGAUCGCCAUCCAGAACUUUUAAUAAACUUUGGAAUCUGA
This is a long non-coding RNA of Girardinichthys multiradiatus, 489 nucleotides long. RefSeq lists it as uncharacterized. The transcript is spliced from 2 exons. The record is from RefSeq and is a predicted model, not a curated record. NCBI's taxonomy places the organism in Eukaryota, Metazoa, Chordata, Actinopteri, Cyprinodontiformes, Goodeidae.